AUGCACGCUGGCGGCGUGCCUAAUACAUGCCAGUCGAGCGAACGGACGAGAAGCUUGCUUCUCUGAUGUUAGCGGCGGACGGGUGAGUAACACGUGGAUAACCUACCUAUAAGACUGGGAUAACUUCGGGAAACCGGAGCUAAUACCGGAUAAUAUUUUGAACCGCAUGGUUCAAAAGUGAAAGACGGUCUUGCUGUCACUUAUAGAUGGAUCCGCGCUGCAUUAGCUAGUUGGUAAGGUAACGGCUUACCAAGGCAACGAUGCAUAGCCGACCUGAGAGGGUGAUCGGCCACACUGGAACUGGGACACGGUCCAGACUCCUACGGGAGGCAGCAGUAGGGAAUCUUCCGCAAUGGGCGAAAGCCUGACGGAGCAACGCCGCGUGAGUGAUGAAGGUCUUCGGAUCGUAAAACUCUGUUAUUAGGGAAGAACAUAUGUGUAAGUAACUGUGCACAUCUUGACGGUACCUAAUCAGAAAGCCACGGCUAACUACGUG
This 496-nucleotide ribosomal RNA is filed under the name uncultured bacterium. Its description in RNAcentral is "partial 16S ribosomal RNA". It matches the Rfam family "Bacterial small subunit ribosomal RNA", at positions 29 to 507 of the family's 1533-position model. The record is from RNAcentral.